This 10595-nucleotide long non-coding RNA is filed under the name Vitis vinifera (wine grape). Its description in RNAcentral is "long non-coding RNA (VVIN_LNC001945)". The record is from RNAcentral. Lineage: Eukaryota; Viridiplantae; Streptophyta; Magnoliopsida; Vitales; Vitaceae.
AAAGUAAUGAGAUCAAGGUACAAAGCUAAUGAGACCACACACAAGGUACAAACUAAUGCAUGCCUGACACCUGCUGAUUGGUGGUAACUUCUGGUAUGGUAAUGAAAAGGCAUACAGUAAAACAUGAGAUGUAAAUUAGAAGAAGAUAAUUAGAUUUGCAUUAUGAGUUGCAAUGCAAUGGGAAAUUAGAAGAUGACCAAUGAUAUGGGAACUGCAUAGUGUGGCCAAAUUGCAAAUUUUAAUCAUGGUCCUGCAAAUAAAGGACUUAGGUAAAGCCCCUUUCACUAUUCCUAGUUAUGGUAUUAGUUUGAUCUUUAGCUCUGGAGUUAUCAUACAUGGGGUUACCUUCAAUAUUUUACUGUUCAGAACCAGACCAAUAGAUCUUAAUCUGAGAGAUGCUACCAUUCUAGUAAUUGAUGUACAUCCAAGAUUUUAUAUUAAUGGCAUGAGGUUAUUAGAGACUUGGAGUUGAUGUCCAACACCACGACCCCUCUCCCUCUAUCUUGAAUAAAAGUCAUUACCAAAAUUACCUUAUUGGUGAGAAGGGAAAAGACUAUUGUAAUUUGACAUACGAGAAGCUCAUCUAGAUUCCUUUCUGAAAACUCUUAUAUAUAUCUGGGAUCGAAAAUGUAUGAGAAGUUCAUCUAAAAGAGUUCUUACCUGCCACCAAGCAGGCCCUGGCAUAGAGAACUGGAAAAAGUUUCGAGCACUACAAACAAUCGAACGAGUUUUCCCAGGUGCCAUUGGUACAUUGAAGGAACAAAUCCAUAUCUUCCACUUCUGCUCACCAACUAUGGGAAGCUUUGUAUCUAUCUCUAUUCUGGAAAAUGACAUAAAAAUAGAAUAAACUUCAGAAUGUGUUGUUAGUUGUUACCUAACGCUAAAAUGCAAAGGUGAAGAAACUUUAUUUGUUUAUAGAAAAGCUACAAUGCAUGAUGAAAAAUUGCAGUCAUGUUUGAAUCUGUGCUCAAAGAACAGUUUUCCACUCUCAAAAUUGGAGGAAAAAAAAGAAGAAGUUGCAGAGAGCUAUUUACUGGAAUUAAUUAGCUGUUCGAGACACCACAUAUGGCUUAAAAGAAGCAUGUUCCUAAAUAUUCUAGCUGUUUUCCUAGAUUAACAAUUGUUAAAGCCUUCCCUGAGAACAGAUCCAACAACUCUCUACAACCAGUCAAUGCCUAGAGAAAAAUCCUUCCAUCCUUACGACAACAUUAAAAGAAUUUAGACAUUCUAACUGCAAUAAGACAAGAAAUGUCAUUAGCUUUAAAACAAGGUAUCAGAGAGAGUUUAGUCCUUUGGAUGGACAUCUUGUUGACUAAUGUAUAAGGGACAUACUUCAGGCCAGAAAGAGAGAACCUGAUACUUUGAAACAUAAGUAACCUUGAGGCAAUAACCAUGAGCCUCUUGUCAAAGAGAUUCUUAUGCCUUGCAUCCUUCCAAAACAAUGGUUAAAAUGAUGCUUAAAACUUAUUGAAUGAUGACAAGAAUCAACUCAAGAAUCCCAAAUCAAUCAAAAACAAUAAUCAUAGCUACAACUUGAUUAGUAUCAUCUAGUCAUUAGAACAGGAUCUGCAAGCUGGGUGCAAGUCAAGUCUUUGGUGUUUUGCAUGUGGACUGUUUAUAUGGGAGUGGUCAACUUACUUAUUCAUAUAAUAACAAGGUGCAACAAAUUUGGCACUGAUUCGUGGGUUCCCAUCAUUUGCUCCAGCAAAUCCCCCAGGGCCACUAGACUCCAACUUAAAUGGCAAAGGCUUGGCUCUAUCUCUUCUCCCUGUAACCUGUGAGCGAUUCUUCUUAGUAAGCAGCCUGGAAAACCUAUCCAUUAUAUCAUAGCUAAAGUGCCAAAUAAGAAAUAAUCAAAGGGAGUCCUAUAAAAUAUAGCAUUCUGAAAGCAAGUGCCCUGAAAUCAAUUCCUCGUCCUACAAUGUGUAUUAAGAAUUAUAAUGAUAACAUCUGCUACAUGAACACCAGUAUCCUCCAAAUAAACAUCCCCACCCCAUCCCCCACAAAAAGUUACCAAAUGAUCGAGAAGCAGAGGAUAAUGCAGUCUACGAGGAAGAGGCACGUCAUAUAUAGAAUUAACACUUUACUUCGAGUCAUGCACAUCAGAAGUUCAUAAGUAGGGAACAUCAGAUUACUUCUCAUCUCAAGGAACAAAUUUGUCCAAAUUCAGCUAGAAAGAGAAUAAAGAGUAAAAGCUACACCAGGCAGAGGUACAACAAUUUGCUUUAGAAGACUUUUUAUUGCCAUAUUUAGGACAAGGAGAACCUCAACCAUAGUAACCCUCUACUCUCAGCUGCACAUUUCUAAUUGUUUCACAAAGUUGACACUAAGACAAAAGAUGGUUGCCAAAUUUUACUUCCAAUAUCCAGGUUCAAAGUGCUCCAACUUUCCAUUAAUGAUUUCUAGGUAAUCUAAAAACAGUAAAUUAUCUUUGAAUACAACUUCUGUAAGUAUCACCUUGGUAUUGUGGUUUGGUCUUACAAUGUAGAUUGUGACUUUUUUUUUUCCCUUUAAGAAACCCCAAAGUAAUUUUAACCCAACCAACAUUAUGGCAAGUAGAGAAAUUUGUUAAAUAAAGGGCAUCUCUUAAAUAUUGAGAACAGUUCCAGCAUAUAUUAUACUAUAAGAAAAAAUUAAGUGCAUUUAAUUGGAAGGGCCUCACCCAAUUGAAAAGGCCGCCUGGCAAAGAUGAACAAACAACAAUUUAGUCAUCGAUCAAUAUCCUUAUAUUCAAAUAUUUACCUUGUGAUGUGCAAAAUCAAUGUGGGAAGGAUCGGACACAUUCUCCAUCAGCGUAUCAUAGCCAUAAAACAGAUCUCGCUGAAUUGUCACAGUUGAGAACUCGGGAUUCUCGAACUCAUCAGGCAGCCUAAAGAAUUCAAUUAAACAUCUCAUUAAAAUAAUCAUAAGACAAUUAAUUUCUAAUCAAAUAAGGUUUGAAUAAUUGACCAUCAUCUGCAUUGACUAAUUUAUGUUAUAAAUUAUAAACUAAAAAAAAGAUACAGAGAUAAUCAAGUACAUUGGAGGCUUAGUUGCAGAAGCUCUUUCCCAACCGUUCUCAUCCGGCCAAACAAAGAGCAGACCCUGAGAAACCAUUGUAGGAAACCUUGUUGCGCAGGCCCUUGGAGACCCAACAGCACGAGCUUCAGGUCCUUCAGGCAAGGCCUGGGGAAUCCGUUUGCAAGAUCCACACUUGUCAAAGGACCAUCCAUGGUAAGAACAUUGCAAGUAACCAUUUUCAUCAAUUCUUCCCUCCUACAAAAGAAAAGAAUCAUCAAAAUCAGGGUCUCUUAGAUUAUUCUACUAUUUGGGUGUCAAGUGAAGCAUAUAGUUCCACUUAAAGUGAGGUCAUUCAAGUCGUACAGCAUGGUUGAGCAGAAAAUAUUAUGACCAGAUUGGUUGUUGGGAAAACAAAGGAAAAUGAGAAGAAAUCAAACUUGUUCAUCCUUUACAGAAUGAGAAAGGGAAAGCUUCCAUUCAGCUGAGGAAGCAACCCAAAAAGUAGGAAUCCCAAGUUCCUCUGUACUUCCCAGCAACCAACCAACCAGCAGGUUAAGUCCAAAAAUUCCAUUAUAUUUUCUUGCCCCCAUUUCCUGGAAAACAAAAGAGAGCAAAACUUCAAUUGAAGAAAAUUACAGAUAAUGGGGCGAGGCGGUGCGGGCACUUGUCAUCAAAGGCAACCCAUUCAGCAGUAGAUUUAUCCUUCCAGAGAACGAUGUCUCGGCCAAGAAGCUGAAACGGGGUCGGGCGAUUAGUGUCCAGGUCCUCAAUUAGCGACACUGGAUACCAGUGAUCUCUCCACAAGAACUUGGAAGACGACGACGACCUCUCAUCAUCAACCGCAACAACUUCAUCCUCACGUUCUUCAUUGGAUUGAUCUGAGGUCACAGGCUGGGUGGGAGGAGCAGCCACCCUCAAGGGAGAGAAAGUCAGUGAUCUGGUUGUUCUAAAGGAAGGGUUCGUUGGUUUGGAGGGAUGAGAGGAGAGGAAGCAGGUGGUGGAAUUGGGAAAGAGGCCAGGGAGUGCGGCUGUAGUAGCACAACCGUAGAGAAGGAAAGCCAUUUUCCAGCUCUGUGAGAUGGAGGAGUGGCUUCAGAUUUUUAGAGAAACCGUUUGCGUACAAGUCUGGAAUUCUUCUGGAGCCGUUAUUUACAGUGAGAAGGAGACAGAACAGCGAGUCGACUCAAUUGAGUUGCGGCGUGUGUAAAAAGAGUGGGAUUUUUACCGGCAUGGUCGGAGACUGUUUGCUACUUUUCUUAGGAAUUCAUUGGACCACGUGGCGCAAUGAUAACCAUUUAUUACCUUCUUCACUCAUUAUAUUUGAACUUUCCAGAAAUUUCUUUUCAUUGUAAAUUACAAAAAAUUGCAGAUACGCGUGACUUAAUUAACUUCCUUGAUUUUACAUUUUACGUUUCGAGAAUUGGUUCAUAGAAAGAUUGUGUUUAGCAUCUCACAGUUAUUAGGAUUUUUUUUUUUUUAAAAGACAUUAGGAAAAAAAAAAAAUUCAAAUGAGUAUGAGUGGGUCAAAACAAAAUUUAAUCAGAAUACUUAUUCAAAUAUGGUGAUGAUAAUUGAUGAUCUAAAUCAAUCCAUUUCAGUGUUACUGGUAAUGGGAGUGAAAAGGGUUUUGGCAACGGGAGUUCAACACGUAACAUUUGAAAGGGAAUUGAAGAAGUUUUAAGCGGGGAGGGUCUAAAAACUUCAAGAACCAUCACUGAUUGCUUCUCCAAUCAAGCUAUUGAUGGAACAAAUGGACAAAAAAAAUCUCCAACCUAGCAUUUUCGCAAUGGAAGGUGAGGGCAGCUGUGGAAGCAAAAGCCAACAAGGUCAAAUUGGCUUAUUCGCCUCUACUGUGAGAAUUGGGGCACCCUUUUUCUCCUUCUGGUAGGUUUGGCCACCAGCUUUCCCUGUCCCAUUCUCAUGACAUGCCGUGGGAAUCCGGAACAAGCAGCUUCUUCUUUGGCACCGUUUCCAACUUGGCCAUGGAUUUUUGGGGUGUGCUAUUAUUUCUUUUGAUGGCUGAUCUCACAGCUUCAUGCUGAGCCCUCUGUGGAGCAGCUGAAAGCUAGCUUCAAGGGGUGUACCUUUAUUUCAUUCUCUCCUUAUUUCAUUCACCAAAUCUCAAGAGAAUAACAUAUGGUGUGUACCUUUAGUGAAACUGAUACAAAAGAAACAGUGACAUUAAUAGCAACCAUCGAUGCUACCUUAAAGGAAUAUCUUAUCACAAAAUAAAAUUACUUCUUUCGGUAGUCCCGGUGAUCAGGUCCAAUAUCAUGCGAACCAGUGUUUAAGUAAGGCCCUCGAAUUAUUGCCUGGGGUGGCAGUGGUUUUGAUGAAUCAAUCACCGGCUUGCUCUUCAAGGCCCUGGAUCAUGCAAACCAUCUUUACUUCAACUUCCACAAAGGCAGUGGAAUGGGAAUUUCAAAAACAAUAAACUAGUUAAAAUGAAGUAUGCUUACACCAAGUAGUAGGGAAAUGCCAAGCCUGCAGCUGCAAAAGCUAGUAAGCCUGUCGCAAGAAUAACAUUCCUUGAUCGGGACACAGACAUCGCCAAUGAAGGCUAACAAGUGAUCCUAAAAGACAUGAAUAAAAAACUUCAGUCUAACAACUGAUCCUAAAAGACAUGAAUAAUAUAUAUAUAUAUAUAUAUAUAUAUAUAUAUAUAUAUUAUUUUUUGUAUAUAGAAUAACAACAUAAUAUAAAAAAAUUUAUUUAUAAAUUUUGAAUAUUGUUAAGUGAAAGAGAAAUUUCAUAUAUAUAUAUUUUUUUAAAUAGAAAAUAUUGGAUUGCAAUAUAAUUUUUAUUUUAAAUAUUGAAAAAAAAAUAUAUAUAUAUAUAUUACAUUUUAUUUUAUUUUAUUCAUUUUACAAACUAAAUAUAGGUCUGGCAUAACAUAUAUUAUUAGCUAUACUACCUUAAGAUAUCAUGUACAUUGUAUUUAAUAUCCAAGGAUAUUAUAUUCUAUUGAAAAUUAUAUUGUAAGAUAUGUAUUUCUUAUUCAACGGGAUAUGAUAUUUUAGGAUAUAUAUAUAUAUAUCUUUUCCUAUCCUAUCCCCCAAACCAAAUGUGGCCUAAAUGUACAUGUAAUCAAUUAUUUCCACAUAGGCUGGCAAUUUAUUCAGUUUAGGUACCACAUUGUAAAGAAAGGAUGAUUAAACACUUCCAUUGAUGGUGCCUAAAAAAUCACACGAAAUUUCCUUAACAGUCAUAAUGAACUUCAAAAACUUUUUUUGGCCUCUCCAGUCCAAAGCAGAAGGAAUCUUAAAAGAAACAAAGCUAGGCCUUGUACACCAAAAUAUAUAAGGAAAAAUAUAUAAUCUACUAAUGAAGUAUGGUUCACAGUAUCCUCUUUCUUUCCCAUGGCCUGUAAUAGUCUGCUUAGAUACCUUAUAAAGGAAAGUGCAACAAUUAAGUCAAGAAAAAUUAAACUCUCUCUCUCACUUGUGGACCCUAGAGAACAGAGAUGGAGGGUUUUUUCUUCUAACCACCACAAAACCUCAUAGCACUUAAUCCCUCUAGUUUGAUGACACGAAAAAUGAAAAAGACCAAGAUGGGAAAGACUAAGGCCAGUUCAGAAUUGGAUGAAAUCAAUAAAAUCAACGAAUUGCUUUUAAGUAAAAAUGUUUAGAUGCCAAUAAGUAGGGUGUUUUUCCUGCUUAGACCAGGUGUUUGUUCAGCUAAUAGCAUUGACUGAAUGCACAUCACCUUAAUAUAUAAUUGCAAUUCAUAACUAUGCAUUGCCAAGUGGAAGUGCCAUGCAUCUGUAUGGCACAUAAACCCCUAUACUGAUUAGGAAAAUAACAUAAUAAAAUCAUCAUGUUGAGAUGAGGAGGACUUGAGAUAAAAUCAAAACAAUGGAAUUCAAACAAAACUUUUCAUUUUAUAUAUAUAUAUAUAUAUAUAUAUAUAUAUAAGAAUGGAAUUCAAACAAAACUUAGCAAAUGGUCCAGCUAAUUGCAUGUGUUAACACAUUUUCCUUUUUGAUAGGCAAAGAGAAUAUUAUGAAAAGCACUAAAAGAAAAAAGGGGUUACCCUGUACAACAUGUGCUAUCACAUAAGUACCUACAGAAAAUCUCUUGGAUGGUAAACCUUUUUCUUUACUAGACAUUACCUAGGAUAGCAAUCAACUUUGAGAUCAUUUGUAUAACCAAUUCAAGUUAAUGGAAAAUAUUAAAAGAUGGCUACAAGGCAGGAAAUGCUUCAUAGUAAAAGUAGAAUAUUGGGGACUGCACAAGCAAUAUAUUCAAAAAAUGAAUUUUGCCCAACUUUGGAUGCAAGGAUGGAUGGACUUCAACACAUGAAAUACAUAUGUAACAAGAAAUAAAGCACUUUUGAUAAGUAGGGGUGACACCAAAGUGACAAUGGGAUGUAGAGAACUCUCCUAAGAGAAAUUUUCCGAGUGCCAUAAAAAUUGACUAAUACAUCAGCAACACAGAGCAAAUUCGUUCAAAUUAAAAGGCAUUAAAAGAACAAGCCAAAGGUUAAACCGAUCACCAGCAAAUGAAGCAAAACAGACAUGCCAACCAAUUAUUCAACACAAGAUAGUGACCCCCGGAUGGAUGGUGAAAAAAGAUUUGUCUAGCUGAACCAUCAACAGAAUUUAAGGGUGUGCUCACUUACGUGCACAGUGCACUCAAUCAGUGCUUGCUGACAGGAAACUUACAAAACUAGAACAAAGAUAGAAAUCUGUUACUUCGAUAAUGGAGCUCUAAAAUCAUACUACAGAAAAUCAUUUUAAUGAUUAUUUCCAUAACCCAUUCGUUAUAAACAUUUUAUAAACCCUAUCCAAUCACUCAGAUACCAAAUUGCCCCAUAUCUACUCUCAAUCAAAAUCAUUAUAACGAUUAUUCUGUUUAUCAUUUGCAGAAACAAAAACAGGAAAGAAAAAAAAAAUCAGGAAUCACAUCUAGGAAUCUUGAGCUUGUCAUCAGAAAAACACUUCACGAAUUCAAGAAAAGAAACAUAGCCCAUUUCCGGAAUAUCUGUAAAUAAUAGAAUACGUGAUUAACUUCAAUUUCUACAAAUAAUCGGUUCUCUGUUUAGAGCGUGAGAGUGAAGCAAAACCCUAGUUCAGAAACAAUGUUCCGAUUUCAUAUAAUCUGAGAAAUAAUGGAGUUGAAUGCAAGAAGAAAAUGGAUUUACCUGUUAAUGAUAUGAGCCCUUUCAAAUUUCCACUCCCGCCGAUUGCUUUGAGAGACAAAGAGACUCGACGAGUUCAGAGUAGAAUCAGGGCGAAUUUGAUAAAGGAAGGGGUCUGUUCUUGUAUAAUGCCAUGUACCAUGAGACGAAGGGUAAUAUUGCCAUAUGAUUAAUUCUGAUCCGUUGAUCGUGAAUUACAAUAAAUUGAAGCUGUUUUUAUGGGCAUCGUGAGAAUGACAACGGAGGGAAUUCCGGACGGGUAACCCUAUCUCAUUCAUGGUCCCAUUUAUUUAUGUCUAUUCCCAAAAAAAAAAUUUAAAAUGCCUGUAUGUUUCAAAUUUUUCAUUUUUGAAAUUUAAAUUUUAUUAAAAAUAAAUAUAAUUUAUAAAUAAAGAAAUAUUAAAAAUAUUUAUAAUUUAUUUUUUAAAAAAAACAUAUUUUAUUUAUGUAAAAAAAUAACAAAAAAAAUUAAUUAAAAUAAUUUUUUAUUUAAAUUAUAUAUAAUUGAGGUGAGACAAAAUCAUACUGUCCCAAACUCUUUUUUAAAAAAAUAAAAAAUAAAAAAUUAAUCCCUUCUUAAAUCAUUUAUCCUUAUUUCAAAUCCUUAUUAUUUAUGUAUAAAAAACUUGUUUUAAUUGUUUUAUUAGGAAAAAUUAAUUUUAUGCAAACUUUGAUUUUUCAUUUUUUUUUUUGUAAAUUGUUUCUAAAAAUAAAAAAUGAUAUGAAUUAUGUAUAAUGUAAGAGUUUCUUGAUUUAUUUUUUAAAAAUAAUGAUUUUAAAAAAUGAGGUGUUAAAACUUUUUUAAUUCAAAUUUAAAAAAUUUUGAAAAUGAUUUUUAAGAUUAUAAAAUAAAUUAAUUCUAUUUGAUGCAAAAGUGAUUAUUAAUUUUAUUUUUAAAAAUGGAAAAAUAAGAAGUGUAAAAAGCAGCACCUAGGAAACAAAUUGAGAUAAGUACGGGGAGACCAAUUCUACACAUUCCGCCGUAAAGAAGUCAACAUUUUGCCUAAAAGAUUCCGAGCCCAUCUGGUCCGGUCUAAGACUGGACUUAAAUUUUCCAUCUGGUCCAAUAUUAAAAGCCCAACCCAGCCCAUGAGUUCCUGCUUUAAAAUCCUCCACACAAAGAAUAAGCGUCGAGUGAAGCUACACUUUCACCAAAAUGCAGAAGUCGAUGCCAAUCGUUAUGCGCUUGGACCUUAAAAAGUAUUUUUUUAAAAUAAAAUAAAAUUUAUAAAAUAUUUUAAAAAAUCUGAAAACAACUUGUAAUAUUAAAGAAUUACUUCCACUAUUUUAUGAAGAAACACAUCUCAUAUAAAUACAUCAAAGAUCAAAACCUGGUCCGAGGGGCACUAAAAUACAUCUAAAUCCAAGCCCAAGUUGAAAACAUGCUACAAUCAAUCCAAGCCAGAAAUUUUCGAUUUAACCAAUUUUUCUUCAAAGAAAAAUUGUGGUGGACAAAUCCAUAUCAAGGAAUGUUGGAAUUGAUUCAAAGACUAGAGAUAGGGGGUAGGAUAAGAGAGCUAAAAGAUAAUCAGAAUCAAAUGAACCAAUUAAGUUGGCUUGAAACCCAUCCAACUCUCCCACUUGCAUGAUAUAACUUCAUUUCCAUAAACGAAAAUAGACAGCAACACCACAACUGUCAGUGUAGGAUUUGAGGAUGCCAACCAUUUUCAAUAAUGUCAUUGAAAGUGAUGGCUUUCUCUUUCAACCCUUACGCACCCAGAAAAAUGUGCCAACUGUCUUGGACCUCUCAGCCUCUCAUAUAAAAAUUCAGAUUUCUGAUUUGGUAAUCUUUUAGUCCAAAACUUGAAACUACAGCCAGUCUUCAGGAUAGAAAAUCAAAAGAAAAUUGAAAAAAGCAUACAACGCAGCACAAACAACACACCAUCCCUAUUCCUGUGAUUUCCAGUAAUUGGAAAACCAGUACCACAGAAUAAAACAACAUUCCUGAAACUACAGCCAGUCUUCUGGAUAGGAAAUCAAAAGAAGAAAAUUGAACAAAGCAUACAACACAGCACAUACACACCAUUCCUAAUCCUAUGAUUUCCAGUAAUGGGAAAACCAGUACCACAGAAUAACACAACAGAAUAAAUUAAUUAAAGAAAUAUAUUCCACCCCACAGAAGCAGAAACCCCAUAGUAAAAUCCAUCUCAAUUCUACAAAGGACCAACGACAUUUGAGUCAUCAACAGAGUUCAAGGUUUUAAAAAGAUGCAACAGUCUAGCAUUAGUUUCUCCAUGAAAGGGGAAUAGAAGAGUACAAUACCCAACAAUUCAAACAUGUUUCAACUUUCUACGCAGAUAGUAGAAACCUGAAGUAUAAUUGCUUGUUUUUUUUUUUUUUUUCUUUUCCUGGGACAUUUAGGAGGGAUGUAAUUGAGUAAAACAUCACUUAGCAAGCAAGCCCUGCUGAGCUUGAUUCUCCUGCUGCUGCUGAUAGUUCAGAGGCCUCCUGAAGAG